This 254-nucleotide ribosomal RNA is filed under the name uncultured bacterium. Its description in RNAcentral is "partial 16S ribosomal RNA". It matches the Rfam family "Bacterial small subunit ribosomal RNA", at positions 524 to 776 of the family's 1533-position model. The record is from RNAcentral.
CACGUAGGCACCAAGCGUUGUCCGGAUUUAUUGGGCGUAAAGAGCUCGUAGGCGGUUCAGUAAGUCCGGUGUGAAAACUCUGGGCUCAACCCGGAGACGCCACCCGAUACUGCUGUGACUUGAGUUCGGUAGGGGAGUGGGGAAUUUCUAGUGUAGCGGUGAAAUGCGCAGAUAUUAGAAGGAACACCGGUGGCGAAGGCGCCACUCUGGGCCGAAACUGACGCUGAGGAGCGAAAGCGUGGGUAGCAAACAGG